CAGCAUGGUCUUAUGCUUUCAUGGCAAGCUACCCUGUGUACCUUGGCUUUUUCAAAGCAGUAGGUUUUAGGUACGCUAUGUUUACUAAACCUGAUUGCCUAGUGUUGUUUUUCUUCAUUGAUUUGCUGGAAAUGCCUUCAAUUUAGUGUAUGAAAUAAGAUUUCCCUUUCUACACAGUAUGUUUUAGCUGUUGGGAGCUCUGUGUUCCAUGCGAUGUUUUACGGAGAACUUGCAGAGGACAAAGAUGAAAUCCGUAUACCAGAUGUCGAACCUGCUGCUUUUCUUGCUAUGCUGAAAUACAUCUAUUGUGAUGAAAUUGACUUGGCUGCUGACACAGUGCUGGCCACACUUUAUGCUGCCAAAAAGUACAUUGUCCCUCACCUUGCCAGAGCCUGUGUUAAUUUCCUGGAGACCAGCCUGAGUGCCAAGAAUGCCUGUGUGCUCCUCUCCCAGAGCUGCCUGUUCGAGGAGCCAGACCUGACCCAGCGUUGCUGGGAGGUGAUUGAUGCCCAGGCUGAGUUAGCUCUCAAGUCUGAGGGAUUCUGCGAUAUC
RNAcentral lists this small RNA (552 nucleotides) under Pongo abelii (Sumatran orangutan). RNAcentral describes it as "processed transcript". Lineage: Eukaryota; Metazoa; Chordata; Mammalia; Primates; Hominidae. The record is from RNAcentral.